This is a long non-coding RNA of Ceratitis capitata (Mediterranean fruit fly), 260 nucleotides long. RefSeq lists it as uncharacterized. The transcript is spliced from 2 exons. The record is from RefSeq and is a predicted model, not a curated record. NCBI's taxonomy places the organism in Eukaryota, Metazoa, Arthropoda, Insecta, Diptera, Tephritidae.
UUUGUUUUUUCUCAAAUAUGUAUUACAAUAUCAUUAUAUAUAAAUAUACUGUAUAUACAUGAAACAAUACUGAAAUUACAAAUAGAAUUGAAAAUUAAAAAUCUUUGGCCACAAAUUCAUAACUGUUUGUUGAACUACAAAUGUACAUGGGCACUCCACAUAAAAUCCUGCGCUGAUGAAAUUAAACAAACCAGGAUAGAACUUCAACGUGGCACAAUGGGUUUGAUAUUUACUACCGAUUUCAUUGGAUGGUAUGGCUA